Molecule: ribosomal RNA, 207 nt
Filed under: uncultured bacterium
Lineage: Bacteria
Description: partial 16S ribosomal RNA
Rfam family: Bacterial small subunit ribosomal RNA
Source: RNAcentral
CGCGUAGGCGGGUGUUCAAGUCCGGGGUGAAAUCCCACAGCUCAACUGUGGAACUGCCCUGGAUACUGGGCACCCCGAGGGUGGUAGGGGUAUGCGGAACUAUCGGUGGAGCGGUGAAAUGCGUUGAUAUCGAUAGGAACUCCGGUGGCGAAGGCGGCAUACUGGACCACUUCUGACGCUGAGGCGCGAAAGCCAGGGGAGCGAACG